Molecule: ribosomal RNA, 791 nt
Filed under: uncultured bacterium
Lineage: Bacteria
Description: bacterial SSU rRNA
Rfam family: Bacterial small subunit ribosomal RNA
Source: RNAcentral
AGAGUUUGAUCAUGGCUCAGAUUGAACGCUGGCGGCAUGCCUUACACAUGCAAGUCGAACGGCAGCGCGGGGCAACCUGGCGGCGAGUGGCGAACGGGUGAGUAAUAUAUCGGAACGUGCCCUGGAGUGGGGGAUAACGCAGCGAAAGUUGCGCUAAUACCGCAUACGAUCUAAGGAUGAAAGCAGGGGACCGCAAGGCCUUGUGCUCCUGGAGCGGCCGAUAUCUGAUUAGCUAGUUGGUGGGGUAAAGGCCUACCAAGGCAUCGAUCAGUAGCUGGUCUGAGAGGACGACCAGCCACACUGGAACUGAGACACGGUCCAGACUCCUACGGGAGGCAGCAGUGGGGAAUUUUGGACAAUGGGCGAAAGCCUGAUCCAGCAAUGCCGCGUGAGUGAAGAAGGCCUUCGGGUUGUAAAGCUCUUUUGUCAGGGAAGAAACGGUGUGGGCUAAUAUCCUGCACUAAUGACGGUACCUGAAGAAUAAGCACCGGCUAACUACGUGCCAGCAGCCGCGGUAAUACGUAGGGUGCAAGCGUUAAUCGGAAUUACUGGGCGUAAAGCGUGCGCAGGCGGUUUUGUAAGUCUGUCGUGAAAUCCCCGGGCUCAACCUGGGAAUUGCGAUGGAGACUGCAAGGCUAGAAUCUGGCAGAGGGGGGUAGAAUUCCACGUGUAGCAGUGAAAUGCGUAGAGAUGUGGAGGAACACCGAUGGCGAAGGCAGCCCCCUGGGUCAAGAUUGACGCUCAUGCACGAAAGCGUGGGGAGCAAACAGGAUUAGAUACCCUAGUAGUCC